AACGAACGCUGGCGGCAGGCCUAACACAUGCAAGUCGAGCGAGGACUUCGGUCCUAGCGGCGGACGGGUGAGUAACGCGUGGGAACGUGCCCUUUGCUUCGGAAUAGCCCUGGGAAACUGGGAGUAAUACCGGGUGAGCCCUUUGGGGGAAAGAUUUAUCGGCGAAGGAUCGGCCCGCGUUGGAUUAGGUAGUUGGUGGGGUAAUGGCCUACCAAGCCGACGAUCCAUAGCUGGUUUGAGAGGAUUAUCAGCCACACUGGGACUGAGACACGGCCCAGACUCCUACGGGAGGCAGCAGUGGGGAAUCUUAGACAAUGGGGGAAACCCUGAUCUAGCCAUGCCGCGUGAGCGAUGAAGGCCUUAGGGUUGUAAAGCUCUUUCAGCUGGGAAGAUAAUGACGGUACCAGCAGAAGAAGCCCCGGCUAACUCCGUG
RNAcentral lists this ribosomal RNA (433 nucleotides) under uncultured bacterium. Its description in RNAcentral is "partial 16S ribosomal RNA". It matches the Rfam family "Bacterial small subunit ribosomal RNA", at positions 29 to 507 of the family's 1533-position model. The record is from RNAcentral.